GACGAACGCUGGCGGCGUGCCUAAUACAUGCAAGUCGAACGGUUUAGUUCCAAGAGGCUUGCCUUUUGGAACUAGACAGUGGCGGACGGGUGAGUAACACGUAGGCAACCUACCUGUCAAACCGGGAUAACCUCGGGAAACCGAAGCUAAACCCGGAUAAGCUCCUUUUUCGCAUGAAGGGGGAGUGAAAAGGUGCGACCUGAUGACAGAUGGGCCUGCGGCGCAUUAGCUAGUAGGUAGGGUAACGGCCUACCUAGGCGAUGAUGCGUAGCCGACCUGAGAGGGCGUACGGCCACACUGGGACUGAGAUACGGCCCAGACUCCUACGGGAGGCAGCAGUAGGGAAUCUUCGGCAAUGGGCGAAAGCCUGAUCGAGCAACGCCGCGUGAGUGAGGAAGGCCUUCGGGUUGUAAAACUCUGUUGUUUGGGAAGAAGGGAAAGGGUAGGACCCUUAGGUGACGGUACCAAACGAGAAAGCCCCGGCUAACUACGUG
RNAcentral lists this ribosomal RNA (494 nucleotides) under uncultured bacterium. Its description in RNAcentral is "partial 16S ribosomal RNA". It matches the Rfam family "Bacterial small subunit ribosomal RNA", at positions 28 to 507 of the family's 1533-position model. The record is from RNAcentral.